RNAcentral lists this ribosomal RNA (497 nucleotides) under uncultured bacterium. RNAcentral's name for it is "partial 16S ribosomal RNA". It matches the Rfam family "Bacterial small subunit ribosomal RNA", at positions 28 to 507 of the family's 1533-position model. The record is from RNAcentral.
GAUGAACGCUGACGGCGUGCCUAAUACAUGCAAGUCGAGCGAACAGACGAGGAGCUUGCUCCUCUGACGUUAGCGGCGGACGGGUGAGUAACACGUGGAUAACCUACCUAUAAGACUGGGAUAACUUCGGGAAACCGGAGCUAAUACCGGAUAAUAUAUUGAACCGCAUGGUUCAAUAGUGAAAGACGGUUUUGCUGUCACUUAUAGAUGGAUCCGCGCCGCAUUAGCUAGUUGGUAAGGUAACGGCUUACCAAGGCGACGAUGCGUAGCCGACCUGAGAGGGUGAUCGGCCACACUGGAACUGAGACACGGUCCAGACUCCUACGGGAGGCAGCAGUAGGGAAUCUUCCGCAAUGGGCGAAAGCCUGACGAAGCAACGCCGCGUGAGUGAUGAAGGUCUUCGGAUCGUAAAACUCUGUUAUUAGGGAAGAACAAAUGUGUAAGUAACUAUGCACGUCUUGACGGUACCUAAUCAGAAAGCCACGGCUAACUACGUG